This 1044-nucleotide long non-coding RNA is filed under the name Gallus gallus (chicken). RNAcentral's name for it is "long non-coding RNA NONGGAT003153". Lineage: Eukaryota; Metazoa; Chordata; Aves; Galliformes; Phasianidae. The record is from RNAcentral.
CAGUUCACCACCUGGCUGAGAGCUGCACAGGGCCAAGCCUAGAGCUGGUCAAGUCAUUCUCAUCUCCAUUUCUGUCCUCUUUACAGGUACAAGCUAGGUGGGUAUAUACGUGGCUGUGCACAUCCUCCUGCCUGAUCUCCAGCUCUCUACCUGGCCCAGGAAGGAGGCAGAGGUUCAGCUCAGCCUUCUGUGCAGCAGGAAACACAUCUGCUUCAGCAGAACUCAUUACUGGAGUUUCUGAAGUCCAGGACAGCCUCUCUGGUCAAGCAUUCCGCCUCCUGAAGUUUGAUCUCUGCUGUCCUCCUCUCUGGGUGUGCAUUUCCAACUUUACCGAAAGGGAUGAAAGUAAAUGUAGACCCUUGCACUUGUGUACAGGGUGAAACUGACCUCCCAGUAACAAUCCCAGCCUGGAGCUGUUGCCAAGGCUCCAUUUCUUGCUGGUGUGGGACCAGACGAUGUGCGGAAUAAGGACUGCCUUGCUGAGAGCAGGUCUGCUGGGGCACAGAGCAGCACAGCACUGAUUUCUUUCAGGAGAAAGAAGGGGAGGGAAGUGCUAUUGUCCUCCGUUGCCAGGUGCAGGAGAUAGUUCUGCUUGCUCUCAUGACAAGCCAUGGCCAGAAAACUUUGCUGGCUCACAAAGCAGGUCAGUGCCAGAUGCAGGUUUCUGCCUUAGGCAUGCUGGACCGUCCCGUGUGCAGCUGAACCAGGAGCCUCACCAGAAACAAUUAGUUCAGCUAAGUUUGAUUGAUGAGCAGAAGACUUUCUUCCUUCUUUGCAAGGUACCAGCUCUUCUGUCUUGUGGCUGCAGUGCAGGCAGCAUAGCUGGCACUUACCUUUCAGGUUUUGUCUCAUGCUCAUUCUCUGCAGGUCUCCAUAUCCCACUAAAGUUAAAGAGGGAGAGCUCCAGCUCCUGCUUUGGAGCUUCUGGCACAACUCUGUACAGGAGCAGCUGAGGAAGUGGAGGGGACAACAUACAGCUCUCACUGCAGAGUUUAGAGCAACCCCAGAACAAACUUCAACGGGUGGGGGACCAUAGCUGCAGCC